GAGUUUGAUUCUGGCUCAGGAUGAACGCUGGCGGCGUGCUUAACACAUGCAAGUCGAACGAACGACUAUUAACAGAACCUUUCGGGGCGAAGAUGAUAGAAGUUAGUGGCGGACGGGUGCGUAACGCGUGGGUAAUCUGCCUUUGUCAAAGGAAUAACUAUUCGAAAGAAUAGCUAAAACCGUAUAAAAUAUUAAUAGGGCAUCCUAAUAAUAUCAAAACGAUAGUGGACAAAGAUGAGCCCGCGUCUGAUUAGCUAGUUGGUGAGAUAAAAGCCCACCAAGGCAACGAUCAGUAGCCGACCUGAGAGGGUGAACGGCCACAUUGGAACUGAGACACGGUCCAAACUCCUACGGGAGGCAGCAGUGGGGAAUAUUGCACAAUGGGGGGAACCCUGAUGCAGCAACGCCGCGUGAGUGAAGAAGGCAUUCGGGUCGUAAAAACUCUGU
RNAcentral lists this ribosomal RNA (447 nucleotides) under Filifactor alocis. RNAcentral describes it as "bacterial SSU rRNA". It matches the Rfam family "Bacterial small subunit ribosomal RNA", at positions 9 to 436 of the family's 1533-position model. The record is from RNAcentral. Lineage: Bacteria; Bacillati; Bacillota; Clostridia; Peptostreptococcales; Filifactoraceae.